AUUGAACGCUGGCGGCAGGCCUAACACAUGCAAGUCGAGCGGAUGAAGGGAGCUUGCUCCUGGAUUCAGCGGCGGACGGGUGAGUAAUGCCUAGGAAUCUGCCUGGUAGUGGGGGAUAACGUCCGGAAACGGGCGCUAAUACCGCAUACGUCCUGAGGGAGAAAGUGGGGGAUCUUCGGACCUCACGCUAUCAGAUGAGCCUAGGUCGGAUUAGCUAGUUGGUGGGGUAAAGGCCUACCAAGGCGACGAUCCGUAACUGGUCUGAGAGGAUGAUCAGUCACACUGGAACUGAGACACGGUCCAGACUCCUACGGGAGGCAGCAGUGGGGAAUAGUGGACAAUGGGCGAAAGCCUGAUCCAGCCAUGCCGCGUGUGUGAAGAAGGUCUUCGGAUUGUAAAGCACUUUAAGUUGGGAGGAAGGGCAGUAAGUUAAGACCUUGCUGUUUUGACGUUACCAACAGAAUAAGCACCGGCUAACUUCGUG
This 484-nucleotide ribosomal RNA is filed under the name uncultured bacterium. RNAcentral describes it as "partial 16S ribosomal RNA". It matches the Rfam family "Bacterial small subunit ribosomal RNA", at positions 30 to 507 of the family's 1533-position model. The record is from RNAcentral.